UGGGGAAUAUUGCACAAUGGGCGAAAGCCUGAUGCAGCGACGCCGCGUGAGGGAUGACGGCCUUCGGGUUGUAAACCUCUUUCAGCAGGGACGAAGCGAAAGUGACGGUACCUGCAGAAGAAGCGCCGGCCAACUACGUGCCAGCAGCCGCGGUAAGACGUAGGGCGCGAGCGUUGUCCGGAUUUAUUGGGCGUAAAGAGCUCGUAGGCGGCUUGUUGCGUCGACUGUGAAAACCUGCGGCUCAACCGUGUGGUCUGCAGUCGAUACGGGCAGGCUGGAGUUCGGUAGGGGAGACUGGAAUUCCUGGUGUAGCGGUGAAAUGCGCAGAUAUCAGGAGGAACACCGGUGGCGAAGGCGGGUCUCUGGGCCGAUACUGACGCUGAGGAGCGAAAGCGUGGGGAGCGAACA
Molecule: ribosomal RNA, 408 nt
Filed under: uncultured Pilimelia sp.
Lineage: Bacteria; Bacillati; Actinomycetota; Actinomycetes; Micromonosporales; Micromonosporaceae
Description: bacterial SSU rRNA
Rfam family: Bacterial small subunit ribosomal RNA
Source: RNAcentral